UACGGAGGGUGCAAGCGUUAUCCGGAUUUAUUGGGUUUAAAGGGUCCGUAGGCGGAUCUGUAAGUCAGUGGUGAAAUCUCAUAGCUUAACUAUGAAACUGCCAUUGAUACUGCAGGUCUUGAGUGAGAUUGAGGUAGCUGGAAUAAGUAGUGUAGCGGUGAAAUGCAUAGAUAUUACUUAGAACACCAAUUGCGAAGGCAGGUUACCAAUCUUAACUGACGCUGAUGGACGAAAGCGUGGGGGAGCGAACGAGGAAUU
RNAcentral lists this ribosomal RNA (258 nucleotides) under uncultured bacterium. Its description in RNAcentral is "partial 16S ribosomal RNA". It matches the Rfam family "Bacterial small subunit ribosomal RNA", at positions 524 to 779 of the family's 1533-position model. The record is from RNAcentral.